RNAcentral lists this long non-coding RNA (576 nucleotides) under Phasianus colchicus (ring-necked pheasant). RNAcentral describes it as "lncRNA (ENSPCLG00000002470.1)". Lineage: Eukaryota; Metazoa; Chordata; Aves; Galliformes; Phasianidae. The record is from RNAcentral.
UGCACACGUAGUGUAUAACACAUCUAUUAGGUACUGUAAAGAACUAGGGGGAUAGUCCAUUAAAUGAAUGGGUGAGGUCUGAUCAUCUCUUUUAAGGCUACACAGAAAGGUGCUGCUGCACCUUCUCUCCUUCUCCUCACCCCUUGCAGGGCUUUUCUCACACAUUUUUCCCCACUCCUCACUGUUGUGCAGUGUUUUGCCCCCAGCCUUUCUCCAAGGCCCCAGCAUCAUGGCUGCAGGGCCCAACCAUACCCUGUGGUGAGCCCUGGCCUAGCCUUGUGCAGGAGCCCUGCAGUCUUCUGCCAGCCUGAAGCACCUGCUUGCAGUGCAGAAGGGGACAAUAACAAGGCCUGGACUCUCCACCUGUCCUGCCUUUGCCGUGUAUUGUUACGACCUUUGAGAGUUUCACAAGGUUGGAUGGUUUUUGGCUUUGGCCCUGAGUGGGAAAGCGUGAGACCUGCUGCAUUAGGCAAGGAAGACCUUGGACUGGGAUCAAAAUAUAAUAUUGUGCCACAUCCCAGAUGGACAUUAAGCACAUUGCAUCAGGGUUUGAGCACACCUUGGUCUGAGACCUGA